This 641-nucleotide long non-coding RNA is filed under the name Salmo salar (Atlantic salmon). RNAcentral's name for it is "lncRNA (ENSSSAG00000119828.1)". The record is from RNAcentral. Lineage: Eukaryota; Metazoa; Chordata; Actinopteri; Salmoniformes; Salmonidae.
GGCAGGGAACAAUGACACUGGAGUGCGCGUCCACGAGAGGUCUCCAUGUUUUUGAACGAAUACAACGUCGCCCGGUUGGAAUAUUAUCGCAAUUUUACGAGAAAAAUCGCAUAAAAAUUGAUUUUAAACAGCGUUUGACAUGCUUCUAAGUACGGUAAUGGAAUAUUUUGAAACAACAUUUGUUGUUGAAGUAGAAGCCCUGGGAGUGCAUUCUGACGAAGAACAACAAAGGAAUCUACAUCUGAAGGCCUGGUACAAGCAAAACAUCUCUCCAACUACAGACGCCAGUGUCUCAGGACCGUAUUUUUAAACAGGUCAAAGGAUGUGCCAUGGGAGCUUGCUACAGCCCUUCCUACGCUGGUUUGUACUUGGAUUGGAAUGUCCACAGUGCAAGGUGUUCUACAUUGGACGGACAAAGAGACGCCUUCAAGACCGCUUAGCGGAACACAAGUACGCCAUACAGCCACCCUCAGUGUUCCUCUGGAGAAGCCUUGGAUGAAUGAGACUGAGGGCAAUCACCCUAGUACCACCACCUCACUGAAGAACGAAGAAGGCAAGACUGUACAGUACCAGGGUCUAAAAGAGAGAGGUGACAUGAAUGAGUAGCGCCGAUGGCAGGUGGGUCACGAGAGAAAUCAAAG